UAACACCGCUUCCCGUACAAUCAUCGGAGUUAAGCAACGUCAAGCCUGGCCCUUACCUAGAUGGGUGACCGCUUGGGAAUACCAGGUGCUGUAAG
This is a non-coding RNA of Acanthosepion pharaonis, 95 nucleotides long. The record is from the annotation of a GenBank genome assembly. Lineage: Eukaryota; Metazoa; Mollusca; Cephalopoda; Sepiida; Sepiidae.